CGAGUCGGCCGGGCGGCCGCGGCGGUCGGAACGGCCCAGAUCUCUGGGUGCGCCGCCCGCCGAGGAAAGUCCGGACUCCACAGAGCAGGGUGGUUGUCAACGGCAACCCGGGGUGACCCGCGGGACAGUGCCACAGAGAACAGACCGCCGCCCCGAUCCGUCGGGACGGUAAGGGUGAAACGGUGCGGUAAGAGCGCACCAGCGACACGGGUGACCGCGUCGGCUAGGUAAACCCCACCCGGAGCAAGGCCGAAGCUCGCACCCCGGGUAACCGGGAGUGCGGGUGCGCGGGUGUUCGAGGGCUGCUCGCCCGAGCCCGCGGGUGGGCCGCUCGAGGUACCCGGCGACGGAGUGCCCAGAUGGAUGGUCGCCGCCCGCCUCGUGGUGAGAACCGCGAGACCGGGCACAGGAUCCGGCUUACACGCCGGCUCGUUCG
Molecule: RNase P RNA, 436 nt
Filed under: Gordonia hankookensis
Lineage: Bacteria; Bacillati; Actinomycetota; Actinomycetes; Mycobacteriales; Gordoniaceae
Description: RNase P RNA component class A
Rfam family: Bacterial RNase P class A
About the family: Ribonuclease P (RNase P) is a ubiquitous endoribonuclease, found in archaea, bacteria and eukarya as well as chloroplasts and mitochondria. Its best characterised activity is the generation of mature 5'-ends of tRNAs by cleaving the 5'-leader elements of precursor-tRNAs.
Source: RNAcentral